GAUGAACGCUGGCGGCGUGCCUAAUACAUGCAAGUCGAGCGAACAGACGAGGAGCUUGCUCCUCUGAUGUUAGCGGCGGACGGGUGAGUAACACGUGGAUAACCUACCUAUAAGACUGGUAUAACUUCGGGAAACCGGAUCUAAUUCCAGAUGACAUGGGGAACCGCAUGGUUCAACAGUGAAAGACGGUGUUUGUGUCAGUUAUAGAUGGAUCCGCGCCUCAUUAGGUAGUUGGUCAGGUAACGGCUUACCAAGGCAACGAUGCGUAGACGACCGGAGAGGCUGAUAGGCCGCCCUGGAACUGAGCCAGCGUCCAGGCUCCUGCGGGAGGGAGCAGUAGGCAAUGUUACGCAACAGGCGAAAGCAUGACGGAGCAACGCAGCGCGAGAGACGAAGGCCUUCGGAUAGUAAUAAUCUGUUACUAGGGAAGAACCAAUGUCUACGGAACUAUGGCGGUCUUGACGGUACCUACUCAAAAAGCAACGGCUAACUACGUG
Molecule: ribosomal RNA, 497 nt
Filed under: uncultured bacterium
Lineage: Bacteria
Description: partial 16S ribosomal RNA
Rfam family: Bacterial small subunit ribosomal RNA
Source: RNAcentral